RNAcentral lists this ribosomal RNA (253 nucleotides) under uncultured bacterium. RNAcentral's name for it is "partial 16S ribosomal RNA". It matches the Rfam family "Bacterial small subunit ribosomal RNA", at positions 524 to 776 of the family's 1533-position model. The record is from RNAcentral.
UACAGAGGGGGCUAGCGUUAUUCGGAAUUAUUGGGCGUAAAGGGCGCGUAGGCGGCCAUGCGUGUCUUCCGUGAAAUCCCUCGGCUUAACCGAGGACGUGCGGAAGAAACUGCAAGGCUCGAGUCCGGGAGAGGGGGGUGGAAUUCCCAGUGUAGCGGUGAAAUGCGUAGAUAUUGGGAGGAACACCGGUGGCGAAGGCGGCCCCCUGGACCGGUACUGACGCUGAGGCGCGAAAGCGUGGGUAGCAAACGGG